RNAcentral lists this ribosomal RNA (710 nucleotides) under Enterobacter bugandensis. RNAcentral describes it as "partial 23S ribosomal RNA". It matches the Rfam family "Bacterial large subunit ribosomal RNA", at positions 2238 to 2925 of the family's 2925-position model. Lineage: Bacteria; Pseudomonadati; Pseudomonadota; Gammaproteobacteria; Enterobacterales; Enterobacteriaceae. The record is from RNAcentral.
AUCCGGGUUGCGGACAGUGUCUGGUGGGUAGUUUGACUGGGGCGGUCUCCUCCCAAAGAGUAACGGAGGAGCACGAAGGUUAGCUAAUCCUGGUCGGACAUCAGGAGGUUAGUGCAAUGGCAUAAGCUAGCUUGACUGCGAGAGUGACGGCUCGAGCAGGUGCGAAAGCAGGUCAUAGUGAUCCGGUGGUUCUGAAUGGAAGGGCCAUCGCUCAACGGAUAAAAGGUACUCCGGGGAUAACAGGCUGAUACCGCCCAAGAGUUCAUAUCGACGGCGGUGUUUGGCACCUCGAUGUCGGCUCAUCACAUCCUGGGGCUGAAGUAGGUCCCAAGGGUAUGGCUGUUCGCCAUUUAAAGUGGUACGCGAGCUGGGUUUAGAACGUCGUGAGACAGUUCGGUCCCUAUCUGCCGUGGGCGCUGGAGAAUUGAGGGGGGCUGCUCCUAGUACGAGAGGACCGGAGUGGACGCAUCACUGGUGUUCGGGUUGUCAUGCCAAUGGCACUGCCCGGUAGCUAAAUGCGGAAGAGAUAAGUGCUGAAAGCAUCUAAGCACGAAACUUGCCCCGAGAUGAGUUCUCCCUGAGACUUUAAGUCUCCUGAAGGAACGUUGAAGACGACGACGUUGAUAGGCCGGGUGUGUAAGCGCAGCGAUGCGUUGAGCUAACCGGUACUAAUGAACCGUGAGGCUUAACCUUACAACGCCGAAGCUGUU